AUAUAUAUAUAUAUAUAUAUAUAUAUAUAUAUAUAUAUAUAUGUGUGUAUAUAUAUUAUAUAUAUUAUGUUAUAUGGGUAAUUUGAAUCUCACAUAUUAAGCAUAUUGAGGGUAACUUUAAAUCUAGUAUCAAAUGUUUAUAAAGCAGCAUUCCACAAGUUUCUUUCUGUAUAAGUUGUAACAUAUGUUUCUAAUAUAAGUUCCUCUCUACAAAUGGAUAUGGGCAUAUUCUGUUAUGUGCUAUAACAACAUUCUUAUUUCCUGUGGGCCCCUUAUGCAGAUGUGAAGUUAACUACGUUUUUUAUAUAUUUCCUGUGACCUCAUGUAUGACGUAUACAUUCCUAUAAAUUCUUUGUGUGUAAUUCAAAUAAACGGGACUUUUGUGAAAACACUCAGUUGCAUGUGUGUGUGAUUUCAGUGGUCACCCCAGGGCCCUGAAGAAAACGUGUGCCGCACCCUUAUCAGCCAGAGCAGAGCUAAGGAACAAAAGAAGUGACCCUACAAAACUGGCGUCAGAAGUGGAAUGAAACAGGGAACUCUCGGAAGGAACCAACCCAUCCUUUCAAGCCUGGAGAUCUGGUCUGCAUUCGCCAGCUGAAUAAAGCAAAGAAAGGAGGUUUCCCGUUCAGCAAGCCAGUCACUGUGAUCGCUGUAACCAGGACUGCCGUACUGACUGAUGACAAGGACAUCUGGAUACACGCUUCACGAGUGAAACUCUGUCCAAAGAGAGGAGAAGCGGGUGACAAGCUAUCGGUCACCCCUCACAAAGGAGAAGUGGGUGAUAAGGUAUUGAUCACUCCUCACAAAGACCAGGAUGACCAUCUCAAUCAUGGAUCCAAGACAUUUCUGCAAGAUCUUCCUUUUCCUAAUGGGGAUAUUGAUAUUUGUGUAUAUCCCAAUAGUAUUAAUAACGGCAUGUUAUUACACACCUGAAGAUGCUGAACACUUUACACCUAUUUGUGAACUAUUUAAAACAAAUAAUAACUCUAAUCUUUUAGUAAGACCAAAAAGGUUUGCACCAUUACAUAGGACACCCCGUGUAACUGUCAAAUGUUAUAAUUUGUUUGCUUGGUAUGGUGAUGCUAUACAUAAUUAUAGCAUAAACCUAGAAGGUAGGGAUCCAAAAUGGUGUAAUAUCGAAGAAAAAUGUGAAGUAUUUAUUUUGGAAUCUGCAUCAAAAAAUCUAUGUUACAAUAACAUUUCAAAUAUAUUAACAUUAACCCCACACAAUGAUAUACAACAAUGUAGCAUGCAAGUUACUUCUUAUAUCAACUAUACAAGCUACCUCUUGUCAGAUCUUCCCCCCCGUUUUAUGGGAAUGCCAAAUAAAUUUAGUUUCAGAAUGAA
Molecule: long non-coding RNA, 1347 nt
Organism: Bombina bombina (fire-bellied toad)
Lineage: Eukaryota; Metazoa; Chordata; Amphibia; Anura; Bombinatoridae
Exons: 2
Source: RefSeq, a predicted model, not a curated record